UGGGGAAUUUUGACGAAUUGGGGGAAACCCUGAUCCAGCCAUCCCGCGUGUGCGAUGAAGGCCUUCGGGUUGUAAAGCACUUUUGGCAGGAAAGAAACGUCGCGGGUUAAUACCCCGCGAAACUGACGGUACCUGCAGAAUAAGCACCGGCUAACUACGUGCCAGCAGCCGCGGUAAUACGUAGGGUGCAAGCGUUAAUCGGAAUUACUGGGCGUAAAGCGUGCGCAGGCGGUUCGGAAAGAAAGAUGUGAAAUCCCAGAGCUUAACUUUGGAACUGCAUUUUUAACUACCGGGCUAGAGUGUGUCAGAGGGAGGUGGAACUCCGCGUGUAGCAGUGAAAUGCGUAGAUAUGCGGAGGAACACCGAUGGCGAAGGCAGCCUCCUGGGAUAACACUGACGCUCAUGCACGAAAAGCGUGGGGAGCAAAACAGGAUUAGAUACCCUGGUAGUCCACGCCCUAAAACGAUGUCAAACUAGCUGUUGGGGCCUUCGGGCCUUGGUAGCGCAGCUAACGCGUGAAGUUGACCGCCU
RNAcentral lists this ribosomal RNA (531 nucleotides) under uncultured bacterium. RNAcentral describes it as "partial 16S ribosomal RNA". It matches the Rfam family "Bacterial small subunit ribosomal RNA", at positions 355 to 874 of the family's 1533-position model. The record is from RNAcentral.